AACAUAAACAUAAACAUAAACAUUUCAUUUCCUUUCCAAUCCAAUUCAAUUCAAUUCAUUCCACUCCACUCCACUCCACUCCAAUCCUUUUCAACCCCCAGCUUUCAUCGCUUCCCUCUUAAAAUCGGUUUUUUCUCCAACUCCAUCAUUCAUGAGAAUAACGACAACGCACUCCACCUUAAUACCGGUCUCUGAACAUUCAACAUCCAUCCCCUUGGAGCAAGGGAGAGGGAGAGGGAAAGAGAAAGUGGGAGUCAGCAACAUUUCCUAAUACUUUCCUUAUUGAAUGAUUGUAAAGCGGGGAGAGAUUAAGAUGAUAGAUUCACAAUAGUUAGGGGAGAAAAGUAGAAAGAAACAAAUGAUACUCUCAACCACUUUUUUUCCUUUCCAACAGAGAAUAAGAGAAAACAAGAGAAAUUGAAUAUGAAACCAUAUUAAAAUUAUGGGAAGGUUAACAAACUUUCCACAUGCCAUAA
Schizosaccharomyces pombe (fission yeast) is the source of this 476-nucleotide non-coding RNA. The record is from the annotation of a GenBank genome assembly. Lineage: Eukaryota; Fungi; Ascomycota; Schizosaccharomycetes; Schizosaccharomycetales; Schizosaccharomycetaceae.